RNAcentral lists this long non-coding RNA (783 nucleotides) under Fukomys damarensis (Damara mole-rat). Its description in RNAcentral is "lncRNA (ENSFDAG00000025440.1)". The record is from RNAcentral. Lineage: Eukaryota; Metazoa; Chordata; Mammalia; Rodentia; Bathyergidae.
AUGGAAUGGGUGCGCUCUGAGAUGCUCUCCUAUCCCACACACAAGCGCAAGACCCACCCUGGAUCCGGAGACUGCCGCUCCCGCCCAGUGGUGGAUGCAUGGACGUGGACAUGUGACAGCUCGGCCCCCGGGCCACCGCCUCCUGGGCACCACCACCGCCAAGCCUGGAGCAGCUCUCUGGCCUCGGGACAGUCAGGAGCCGGACGGUGGCACAUGCGCAGAUGUGAGCCUGGAAACCCACUGAGCGCAGCGAUGCAGACUGUGACGUCAGAACUCUGCUGGGGUCUCGAGCUCAGCCCACCUGGCAGCUUAGCGGACCCUGUCCCAAACGUGGAGAAAAUUGACAAAAAGGUACAUGAUGGAGUCACUGGAAAAGCCCUGGCUUCUUUCCCCAGUAACACACAUGCACACGUGCGCGCGCACAUGCAUGCUCCCUGAAAAACUGGAAAUCUGAAUGAGAUAGGUGCAGUGUGUCAACAUCUCCCCAUGUUUAUAAGAUUGUGCCCUAGAAUUACAGAAUACUGCUCUGGAGGAGAAUGGAUAAAGGUGCGUGAGCUAUCUGUGCAUCACUUCUUAUAACCGUGUGCGUGGCUCCACAGAGAAGUUCACUUGAUGUUUUGCACUCAGUGGCUUCCUUCUGGGCAAAUGACUGUCUCGCCCCAUGGCAGCAUUUCGUGAUUCACUCCUCUGUGUCUUCAGUGUGACCUGUUUGCAGUGGUGAUGACGCGCACUGAACAAUUUGGACUUGAAUUGUAUCAAGGUGUAGAGUAAACCUAAUUUUUC